AGUUCCCAAGCUAGGUGUCAAAUUGGAGCUGCAGCUGCCAGCCUGUGCCACAGCCACAGCAGUGUGGGAUCUGAGCCGCAUCUGCAACCUAACCACAGCUCAUGGCAAUGCUGGAUCCUUAACCCACUGAGCAAGGCCUGGGAUCGAACUCGAGUCCUCAAACUUUGUUCAUUCUUCAGGAGUCAGCUCAGAAGUCACUUCCUCUGUGGAGUCUUUGGGUAGGGAGAGUGGUGUGGUAAGAUUGUCAAGGCUAGCAAGAACUGUAUCAUUCAGGGCCUGGAAGGUUAAAGUAUAUAUCUUGGAUUUUAAGACUACUGGUUCUUAUCCACCGUCAGCUUAGAAACUGCUGUCCUGGAGUGCUCCUAUACCUAAUCUUGUUAAAACAGGCAUUGCUUAAUAUUGUAAUUAUUUGCUCUUGUUUCUUUCCCCUCCCAAGGUAGUGUAACAGCCUCUCAGAUAAAUUUUUGUUGAUGUCUACUCUUUGUGGUGUUUGGAUGGAAAAUGAAAUGAUACCUGUAAUAUGGCUGGUACAGUAAAAACUCAGUAUAAGGGUGAGCUGUUGUUGAUGUUAUCAUUAUCAUUACUGGGCAGGUAAAUCCUGAGAUGAGGAAUAAAGGGAAAUUUCUUGAAAGAGGUGAGAUCUGAUCCAGGCCUUAAAAGACUGUGUAAAGAUUGCAUUGGUGAGUUUUGCUCAGAUGGUUUUAAAAACUUUAUGAAAAACCACUGUGAAAGUUGAGACUUAAAAUUUGAUGGUAAAGUAUCUGUAGUUAUAUAUGUCUAUGGCACUUGAAAAGGAGGAACUAUGUUUCAUUUUUUGGUUUGUUUCCUUAGUAGAGAAUAAGUACUAAAUACAGAAUUAAUACAUUAUUUUAUAUGCAUAAAUAAUUAUGUCGAAAAGGUAGAUUUAGCUAAGAUUGUUCAAGAUUGAUUUUUAGAAAGUUAAAAUUAUGAUUUUUGUAUGAACUUACAAAACCUCACUUGAAUUUGUUUUUACUAAAGUAAAAGCAUUAAGGCAGUAUAUGUAUUUUAAAACAGCUUGUGCCUGUGCCCUUCAGACACUUUGGUGGGUGCAUUUUUAUCAAAACCAUAUACAUAGUGACAUAUUAAAUGUAUCAUAUUAUUAUACUAAUCAUAUGACUUUAGAAACGAAAGUAACCAGAGGACUAAAGCCUAUCAAAACCACCUUUUUGUUUUGUACAAUGGGAUUCUUUUUAAAUUUGCCAAUGAAUUCAUACCAUUAUUGAAACCAGAUGUAGACUUCCGUCUUUUAAUGUAUUUGCUGAGCUAUAAAGUCUUAUUUCCAUCUCUGAUUACUGAGUAUUUUAUUCAUGGUUUAUUGUCUCUCUCCUGCCCUCCUCUUCCUUUUUUUAAACUUGACUGUAAAAUGUGAUUCAAGUGAUUUUAAAAUAACAUUGCCCCAUUUGUAUAGUGAUGGGACUAAAAUUAAAUCUGUAAUGUAUUGAUGAUAACCUAAUUAAAUCCAUAAAUGAAGUACUCUGUUGAUAAAAUUUUUCAUUGGAAAGGAUUCUUGACAGAUAUUACUAAAAGAAGUGUUAACUGUGAUUUGAGAAUGGAUCUAAGAGUUUUCCAUCUUAGAACUUGAGUCUUGUGAUACCUCUUCCUAUAUAAAGCAGAUUCUCUCUCUUAUGUUUUUUUCUUUUCUCCCUAUGUAUUUUCUUUAUAAACCUCAUAAUUUUGAAAUCUGUCUGAAUUAUUAUUGAUAUGAAAAAGAUACUACUUAAAAUUUUUAUCGUAAUGGGAAGAAGGGAUUCUCUCUUUUGCCAAAUAGAAAUCUGGCCGUGGUGAUUGUGUUUGUAUGUAAAUGAAAUUUGUUAAAAGCAUUUAAAGGUUAUUUGAAAACAAAACUCUAUUUAGGAAAAUGGCUGUCAACUAACUCCCUUCCAUUUCCCCCCCAAAUAUAGUCAGUAGAUGUCUAAAGGACAUGAGGUAAACAUCUGGAUCAAGACCUACAUCUAGAAGAUGACUCUCCUUCCCUUCUUAUUCUCCGUUAGUGACACAAAAGAAUAUGUGCAGAGUGAUUUAAAAGUGGAUAUAGAUAUUGUUUGUUUCCAAAGUUCAUUUGAUCCAUUGAUAUUUAAAAGAGACUAGGUAAGCAUUUAUUCUCCAAAUUUGCUAAGAUUUACCUGCCUUUUGGCACUUACAAGGCUGUAAAUUGGCCUGUACCUUUUAUCAUUUUUCUCAUCUUAAUGGAAGGAAAGAAAAUGGGCCUCACUUGAUAACUGAAUGCCACUUCAUAACUAUUAUACUUCUGUUCUUCAGUUAAUUGUUUGUGGUCUUUCCUUUCUCUGGACAGUAAACUACUUUUCUUAUUCAAAGUCCCAUUUUGAUGCCAGUUCUUCUUUCCUUCUCUAAUUAAUUGUUCUCCCUUGUGGUUCCAUUUCACCAUGAAAGUACUUUUUAUAGCUUGUAAGUCUGACUUUUAUUCAAGAUUGGAACUCUGUGAGGUUAGGUUGGAGACUUUUUAAGUACAGCGUAGUGCUCAAUCACUUUUUUCAGUGAACGAAUGUCUUCUAAGGCGUUUUGGAAAGUAUGCUUUUACACAUGGCUUAUACUCUUGUACAAGCUCCACAUGUACUGAUUUCCUCAGCAACAUUGUGACCCAUAUGGCACAAGUUCAUAAUCAAUAACUUCAUUUUUUAAAUUUGCUUUUCUUUAAUAAUUAGUGCAGUUUAAUAUUUUCACAUAUAUAACUAGUCCUGUUUUAAUUUUUAUGAAUCAUAUGUUCAUUUCCUUGCCUAUAGAUUUAUUGAGGUUUUUUGUUUUUCUGAAGGAUUUACAUGACCUCUUUCUGUUUUAAAUCUAUAUCCUAAGUAUCUCACUGUAUUUGCUGGGAACGUUUUUCUAAAUUUUCUAAGCUUUUAAUUUUUAUGUAGACCAAGGUAAUAAAUUUUUGUAAUUCUUUGCCUUUUUGAUUAGAAACUUUUUGUCUCAUGACUUGAUAGUUACUUACUUUUAUUUAAAUAUUUUAAAAGUUUAAGUAAUUGAUCUAUGUGUUCAUUUUGAUGGGAUUAAGUAUCUGUUUUCAAUAAAAUACUCAUAAAGUUAUCUUUGAUGUCCUCAGUUAAGGUUAUUUUUCGGGCCAGGUGAGUUCAUUUACAGGUAUACUAGUUUGUUUGGUUGGCAUACCACUUAAAAUAAUUUAAACUUGAAUGCUGAGAUGAUGCGUGCACUCUGCCUGAUAUGCAAGGCUGCUGUUCAGUUUUAGUGUUUGUUUAUGGCUGGUAUCUGUUCUUACUGUUGUUAACUAUCCUUAGCUGUUCUGAUUGGUUGGCUUUAUGGCUAGUGACUGUUCUGAUUAAACAUUGCCUUUACCGUUUGUUGAAUUCGUAUUUUGAUAUCACCUUUGGAAGAAGCCUUGUAAUUCCCUGUUUUCUUAUAUCGAUAGUAAUUCAAACAUUCAUGUUUGUGACCAUCUGGCAAUGGUGUGAGAGUCAAUAGACUGUAAAAUCACAAGACACGUGUUUGCCACUUAAUAGUUGUGUUUGACAGACCCCUUAAUUUCUCUGAAUUUGUUUUCUUAUCUGUAGAAAAGGACGAUUAAGUCUGUUUAUUGAAUUGUGUGAAACUCAGGUAAAAGAAAUAUAAACAUUUAGGUCAACAUUAUAUCUCUGUGUUGCAGAAACUGUUUCUUAACUUGUCUGUUGUUGUUUAAAAUGGUUUUAUUGGGGCGAGAAACCUUUCAUUUUUGUCAUGGAAGUUAAAAGCCUUAAAGUGCAGAGACCACAUUUGAGCCUUAAUAUUUAAAUGGCUUGUUGAAAUAAUACCAUACAAAAAUAGCUUUAAAUGAGGAUGUAUCCAUGUACUGGUGUGAAUGAUUGGAUAUUAUGUCGUUUUUUGGAUUGAUUCCCAGAAGUAAGGGAAGGGGUUUAUUACCAAACAGAGAAAAGCAUAAUGAAAGAGAGGCUCUAGAAACUUUACGUGUUUGAUUCAGAUCUGCCAUCUCCACCUUUACUAAUUGAGGACCAAAUACAAUUGUGGUCUCAGGUAUUCUUGUAAGUUUCAGAAAAACUGGUCCUGUCAGUUUCUUCACCACAUAUACCCAGCGCCUUUAACAGAAACUAUACAAGAGAGCCAGUGAAGUUGGUACUGACUGAAAGAAUAAAAGUGGUUAUUCAAAUUAGUGUGAAUUUUUUAUUUAUUAUAGUCUUUUGUUAAGAAAAGACUAUGAAGAUCUUUUGUGUAUACAUUAUGGAAUCAAAGAAUUGUAAUGACCCUUUGAAAUCUUUUAGCAAAGCCAGGCAGUUCAUGAAUGAGUGCAGUGUCUCUGGCAAGUCUUCCUUUAGGCUCCCUCUGGAUUUCUCCAAUGGCAUAUGCUUUGCAGCACCAAAGUCAGAUAGAUCCUGAGAGCUGAAAGUAUAGUAGGUCUGUUUACUUCUGAACUUUCUCUAGUAUAGCUCUGAAAUAUAGGGUAUACAGGAGGAGAGGUAACAGAUCAAGGUGUUUAUGAAGGAUUAGUGACCUUCUAGUUGGAAAUAAGGGACCACUAUGAGACUAAAAAUUGAAGUCUAGAUAACUGACAAGGUCAGCAUUGAAAGAACUAAACAUGACACAAUUUUGUGGACUGGCACUGCUUUUAUAAUACCCUCGGACCUUUCAUCUUUAUACCAGGAAUGGGGACUAGGGAGAGGGGAGAAACACAGGCACACAGGACAGCACCACUGUCUUGCACAUGUUCCGCAGUGGUGUAGCGUGGUGGAUUUCAACAACACUCCUAACUCUACUCCCCCACCUUGGUGCAAAGCACUAAUUUAAAAAGCCUGGGAAUAUCACAUGUGGCUAUCUCUUUUGUAACUACAAGUCUCUACCCAUUCAUUCAUUAUUUAUUGAGUGUUAACUGUAUGCCAGGUGUGGUUCCAAGCAUUGUGCAUACAUCACAGUGAACCAAUCUUGUGGGCCCUUUUCUUAAUGCAGUACUGUUCUGUAGAAAUAUAACAUGAGCCACAUGUGUAGUUCUAAACUUUCUAGCACCCAUAUUUAAAAAAAAGUGAGGAGUUCCCGUCGUGGCGCAGUGGUUAACGAAUCCGACUAGGAACCAAGAGGUUUCGGGUUCGGUCCCUGCCCUUGCUCAGUGGGUUAACGAUCCGGCGUUGCCGUGAGCUGUGGUGUAGGUUGCAGACGCGGCUCGGAUCCCGCGUUGCUGUGGCUCUGGCGUGGGCCAGUGGCUACAGCUCGGAUUCGACCCCUAGCCCGGGAACCUCCAUAUGCCGCGGGAGCGGCCCAAAGAAAUAGCAAAAAAAAUAAAAUAAAAUAAAAUAAAUAAAAAAAA
RNAcentral lists this long non-coding RNA (5287 nucleotides) under Sus scrofa (pig). RNAcentral's name for it is "lncRNA (ENSSSCG00050061439.1)". Lineage: Eukaryota; Metazoa; Chordata; Mammalia; Artiodactyla; Suidae. The record is from RNAcentral.